GACGUAGGGCGCGAGCGUUGUCCGGAUUUAUUGGGCGUAAAGAGCUCGUAGGCGGCUUGUCGCGUCGAAUGUGAAAUCUCAGGGCUCAACUCUGACAUUGCAUUCGAUACGGGCAGGCUCGAGUUCGGUAGGGGAGACUGGAAUUCCUGGUGUAGCGGUGAAAUGCGCAGAUAUCAGGAGGAACACCGGUGGCGAAGGCGGGUCUCUAGGCCGAUACUGACGCUGAGGAGCGAAAGCGUGGGGAGCGAACAGG
This 253-nucleotide ribosomal RNA is filed under the name uncultured bacterium. RNAcentral describes it as "partial 16S ribosomal RNA". It matches the Rfam family "Bacterial small subunit ribosomal RNA", at positions 524 to 776 of the family's 1533-position model. The record is from RNAcentral.